GCCGUGAUGCCGGAGCGGUUAACGGGUCAGACUUGAAAUCUGAUGGGCUUUGCCCGCGUAGGUUCAAAUCCUACUCACGGCG
This 82-nucleotide transfer RNA is filed under the name Flavobacteriales bacterium. RNAcentral describes it as "tRNA-Ser". It matches the Rfam family "tRNA". Rfam says of the family: Transfer RNA (tRNA) molecules are approximately 80 nucleotides in length. Their secondary structure includes four short double-helical elements and three loops (D, anti-codon, and T loops). Further hydrogen bonds mediate the characteristic L-shaped molecular structure. tRNAs have two regions of fundamental functional importance: the anti-codon, which is responsible for specific mRNA codon recognition, and the 3' end, to which the tRNAs corresponding amino acid is attached (by aminoacyl-tRNA synthetases). tRNAs cope with the degeneracy of the genetic code in two manners: having more than one tRNA (with a specific anti-codon) for a particular amino acid; and 'wobble' base-pairing, i.e. permitting non-standard base-pairing at the 3rd anti-codon position. Lineage: Bacteria; Pseudomonadati; Bacteroidota; Flavobacteriia; Flavobacteriales. The record is from RNAcentral.